AUGAAGAACCUCAUAGGGACUUCAAGGGGGGGAUAUCCCUAUGAAGAACCUCAUAGGGACUUUGGAGUGGGACAUCCCUAUGAAGAACCUGCAUUCUGGGGAGGGGAAGAGUCACUGCAUCGCACAGCCCAGGGCCAAGGGGACUGCCCAGCUCUCCAAGGGGACCGGCAGGAAACAGGUGCUGACCCACCUUGUGCAGCAGGAGUUGUUGUUGCACACAGACGGCCACGGAGUCCCAGACGGCCACUCGCUCUGCAGAGCAAAGGUAAAGCAGGUUGCAGCCCAUCUACCCCUUCCCAGCAUCCCGACUGCCUCAGAGCGGGAUGGCAGGUGAAAAGGGUCAGCGUCAUCCCUGAUCCCAAAGAGAGACAGCCCCGAGGAAGAGUGCUGGUUCCGGCCCACUCGCUGCCAGGACCCAUUGGCAGCGGUGCCGUGUGCUGGCUGUGGAUCCCCGUACCUUUGGUGGUGCCAUAUGGACUCCUGGAGGCACAGCCCGUUGCGGGGCCGUCCUCCCACCAGCUUAACUUGGUACGCAUCACACGCGCAGGUUGCUCCUUGUUGGCAGCAGCCAUGUGGGAGCUCACCCCUUCCAGAUGCUUCCAGUCGUCUGCCAGAAGCUCCUCCAGGAUGUGGCACCCACCACCCUGCAGCCGCUCUGAUGCUGCUCCUGGGUUCCAUGUCACACAGCAGCCCAUUGUGACGCAAUGGAAUGCAGCCGGUGAUGGCUGCUGCCCAUUCUGUGCCUGCCUGCUGCCUGCCCUGCCUGCAGGAGCCCAGCUCUGCUCUUUUCAGGCUGAUGCUCAUCCCCUGUGUGCCAUGGCCCCCACCAGAAGGGAUGGAGGUGGCUCUGGGCCCGAGGCACGUUCACCUGCAGCCCUCCCGCUGCCCUCUCCUCCUGCUCCACUCCCAGCCCUGCUCUUCUCACCAUCCCACCCACACUUGAACUCCUCCUUGUGGGUAGAUGAGAAGCUGAUGCACAGGCCACGGCUGCCAGCGUGCAGCUGGGCUUCCCAGGGCAAACAGCAACACACGGUGCAUCAGAAGCUGAAAGAGCCCUCAGGGAAGAGAGGCCAACUCAAGGCGCAGGGACACCUUUCUUCCUCCCACGCUGCUUUUGUUUCUCUCAGCCCUCAGAGAGCAAGGAGAUGCUCACAGCCUGUCACCAGCACUUACGGGUUGGCUGAAAGGCCACAGGUUGGGAAGACCAACAAGGAAACGGGGGAAAACCUGCACCAUGUCAAGGGAGAGACGUGA
RNAcentral lists this long non-coding RNA (1254 nucleotides) under Coturnix japonica (Japanese quail). RNAcentral describes it as "lncRNA (ENSCJPG00005002185.1)". Lineage: Eukaryota; Metazoa; Chordata; Aves; Galliformes; Phasianidae. The record is from RNAcentral.